Molecule: transfer RNA, 32 nt
Filed under: Heritiera littoralis
Lineage: Eukaryota; Viridiplantae; Streptophyta; Magnoliopsida; Malvales; Malvaceae
Description: partial tRNA-Met
Source: RNAcentral
CCUACUUAACUCAGUGGUUAGAGUAUUGCUUU